GAGGUAGUGGCUCGGUGGUAGAGCACUUGCCUAGCAUUGUGUGAGGCACUGGGUUCGAUUCUCAGCACCACA
Molecule: transfer RNA, 72 nt
Filed under: Marmota monax (woodchuck)
Lineage: Eukaryota; Metazoa; Chordata; Mammalia; Rodentia; Sciuridae
Description: tRNA.Ala
Source: RNAcentral